ACUCCUACGGGAGGCAGCAGUGGGGAAUAUUGGACAAUGGGCGCAAGCCUGAUCCAGCCAUGCCGCGUGAGUGAUGAAGGCCCUAGGGUUGUAAAGCUCUUUCAGCGAGGAGGAUAAUGACGUUACUCGCAGAAGAAGCCCGGCUAACUUCGUGCCAGCAGCCGCGGUAAUACGAAGGGGGCGUAGCGUUGUUCGGAAUCACUGGGGCGUAAAGCGCACGUAGGCGGACUUUUAAGUCAGGGGUGAAAUCCCGGGGCUCAACCCCGGAACUGCCUUUGAUACUGGAAGUCUUGAGUCCGAGAGAGGUGAGUGGAACUCCGAGUGUAGAGGUGAAAUUCGUAGAUAUUCGGAAGAACACCAGUGGCGAAGGCGGCUCACUGGCUCGGUACUGACGCUGAGGUGCGAAAGCGU
RNAcentral lists this ribosomal RNA (411 nucleotides) under uncultured bacterium. RNAcentral describes it as "bacterial SSU rRNA". It matches the Rfam family "Bacterial small subunit ribosomal RNA", at positions 335 to 762 of the family's 1533-position model. The record is from RNAcentral.